UCAUGGUUUGAUCCCAGCUGGCAGCCAAGCCCCACAUGGCUAGUCGCUCACUCCCCCACUAGUGGGAUGGAGAAUUGGAAGGGUAAAAGGGAUAAAAAUACAUGUGUUGAGCUAAAGACAGUUUAAUAGGGAAGGAAAAAGCCAUAGAUGGAAACAAAGGCAGGAGCUCAGCCAUCCCCAGGAGAGCAGGGCUCUGUCACUCGUAGUGGUGACUCAGGAAGGCAAACACGUUUCAAUGUGAAUGUUCCCCCUUCCUCCCCCUCCCACCACUUUUACAUGCCCAACAUGGCACUGUCUGCUGUGGGGUAUCCCUGAGGUCACCUGUCCUGGCUGUGUCCCCUCCCACCUCCUUGUGCUCCCACUCACUGCUGGGGUGGGGUGAGAGGCAGAAAAGGCCUUGGCUCUGUGCAGGCUCUGCCCUGCACUAAGGAAAACAUCCCUGCAUUAUCAGCACUGCUCCCAGCACAAAUCCCAGCCACUGCCCCAUGCUAGCUACUGUGAAGAAAAUGAACUUUAUUCCAGCCAAAACCAGCACAUUUCCUUUCCAGCAGGAAGUUGUUUCAGGCAGCAGUGGUUUUGGGAGGCCAAGGCAGGCUUUGGCAAGGUGAGUUUGUGUUCAGAGUGGUGUGUGCUGUGUCUGACAGGCUGCACUGCAGGCCAGGUGACAGCAAAGUGUGUUCCUUUGGCUUCUUUCUAGGUGGAAAGGUGUGCUCUGCUGAGUGUGCUUGCAGGAAGCUGGGAGGUGGCACCAAGCUCUAAAUCCUUAAGAAGCAGCAGGAGCCAUCAGCUGAGAUCCAGGAAUGUCACAAAUGGUCCCUCAGCAGAGCCUCUGACACAGGGACAGCAGGAAGGAGUGGUGGAGGAGUCCUUGGCCUCGAGCUCUGCAGGUUACAGCUCACAGGUUCCUAGGUUUCAGCCAUGCAGCUUUCCUGCUCUGUGGCUACUGGCAUCAACCCUGCCUCACACUGAAGUCCCUGGUGUGUUAUCCACAGUGUCCAGUCCCUCUGAAAGUGUCUUUCCUAGUGGCUGUGCCAACAGUGAGUGACAAAGCUUCUUGGAGUAUUUAGAGCAAAAUCAUUGCCAUAAGGUCAGUCUUCCAGUAAAAAAAAAAAAAAAAAAAAAAAAA
RNAcentral lists this long non-coding RNA (1126 nucleotides) under Junco hyemalis (dark-eyed junco). RNAcentral's name for it is "lncRNA (ENSJHYG00000003176.1)". Lineage: Eukaryota; Metazoa; Chordata; Aves; Passeriformes; Passerellidae. The record is from RNAcentral.